AUAGUACUCCCUUCGUCCAACAAAAGAUGUCACAAUUUUGACUAAAUUUGAAUGCGUUUAUAUACUAAGUCAUGUCUAGAUACAUCCAAAUUUUGACAAACUUGAGACAUCUUUUAUUGGAUGGAGGAAAUAGUUG
Brachypodium distachyon (stiff brome) is the source of this 136-nucleotide non-coding RNA. The record is from Rfam. Lineage: Eukaryota; Viridiplantae; Streptophyta; Magnoliopsida; Poales; Poaceae.